CAGGGUGGUCAACUAUCCUGGUUUGCCAGGGCUGUCCCAGCUUUAGUGCUGAAAGUUGCCAGUCCUGGAAAACCCUCAGUUCUAGGCAAACCAGGACAGUGGAUCGCCUCCUGUUUUCGU
RNAcentral lists this microRNA precursor (120 nucleotides) under Marmota monax (woodchuck). Lineage: Eukaryota; Metazoa; Chordata; Mammalia; Rodentia; Sciuridae. The record is from RNAcentral.